GACGAACGCUGGCGGCGUGCUUAACACAUGCAAGUCGAACGGUGAAGCGCCUUCCUUUUUGGUUGGUGUGGAUGAGUGGCGAACGGGUGAGUAACACGUGAGUAACCUGCCCCCUUCUUCUGGAUAACCGCAUGAAAGUGUGGCUAAUACGGGAUAUUCUGGGUCUGUCGCAUGAUGGGUCUGGGAAAGAUAUUGUUUCGGUGGGGGAUGGGCUCGCGGCCUAUCAGCUUGUUGGUGGGGUGAUGGCCUACCAAGGCGGUGACGGGUAGCCGGCCUGAGAGGGUGGCCGGUCACACUGGGACUGAGACACGGCCCAGACUCCUACGGGAGGCAGCAGUGGGGAAUAUUGCACAAUGGGCGCAAGCCUGAUGCAGCGACGCCGCGUGAGGGAUGGAGGCCUUCGGGUUGUGAACCUCUUUCGCCAGUGAAGCAGGCCUGCCUCGUUUGUGGGUGGGUUGACGGUAGCUGGAUAAGAAGCGCCGGCUAACUACGUG
This 494-nucleotide ribosomal RNA is filed under the name uncultured bacterium. RNAcentral describes it as "partial 16S ribosomal RNA". It matches the Rfam family "Bacterial small subunit ribosomal RNA", at positions 28 to 507 of the family's 1533-position model. The record is from RNAcentral.